GAUGAACGCUGGCGGCGUGCCUAACACAUGCAAGUCGAGCGGAGAUAAGCGGAAGGUAACUGAAGCUUAUCUUAGCGGCGGACGGGUGAGUAACACGUGGGCAACCUGCCUUGAAGUGGGGGAUAACACCGGGAAAUCGGUGCUAAUACCGCAUAACAUACACAAACUGCAUGGUAAGUGUAUCAAAGGAGCAAUCCGCUUUAAGAUGGGCCCGCGGCUGAUUAGCUAGUUGGUAAGGUAACGGCUUACCAAGGCGACGAUCAGUAGCCGACCUGAGAGGAUGGCCGGCCACACUGGAACUGAGACACGGUCCAGACUCCUACGGGAGGCAGCAGUGGGGAAUCUUGCACAAUGCGCGAAAGCGUGAUGCAGCAACGCCGCGUGGGGGAAGACGGCCUUCGGGUUGUAAACCCUUUCAGUUGGGACGAAGCUUCGUCGGUGAAUAGCCGGUUGGAGUGACGGUACCUUCACGAAGAAGCCCCGGCUAACUACGUGCCAGCAGCCGACC
Molecule: ribosomal RNA, 508 nt
Filed under: uncultured bacterium
Lineage: Bacteria
Description: bacterial SSU rRNA
Rfam family: Bacterial small subunit ribosomal RNA
Source: RNAcentral